Molecule: ribosomal RNA, 497 nt
Filed under: uncultured bacterium
Lineage: Bacteria
Description: partial 16S ribosomal RNA
Rfam family: Bacterial small subunit ribosomal RNA
Source: RNAcentral
GACGAACGCUGGCGGCGUGCCUAAUACAUGCAAGUUGAGCGCUGAAGGUUGGUACUUGUACCAACUGGAUGAGCAGCGAACGGGUGAGUAACGCGUGGGGAAUCUGCCUUUGAGCGGGGGACAACAUUUGGAAACGAAUGCUAAUACCGCAUAAAAACUUUAAACACAAGUUUUAAGUUUGAAAGAUGCAAUUGCAUCACUCAAAGAUGAUCCCGCGUUGUACUAGCUAGUUGGUGAGGUAAAGGCUCACCAAGGCGAUGAUACAUAGCCGACCUGAGAGGGUGAUCGGCCACAUUGGGACUGAGACACGGCCCAAACUCCUACGGGAGGCAGCAGUAGGGAAUCUUCGGCAAUGGACGAAAGUCUGACCGAGCAACGCCGCGUGAGUGAAGAAGGUUUUCGGAUCGUAAAACUCUGUUGGUAGAGAAGAACGUUGGUGAGAGUGGAAAGCUCAUCAAGUGACGGUAACUACCCAAAAAGGGACGGCUAACUACGUG